Molecule: ribosomal RNA, 274 nt
Filed under: uncultured bacterium
Lineage: Bacteria
Description: partial 16S ribosomal RNA
Rfam family: Bacterial small subunit ribosomal RNA
Source: RNAcentral
AUACGGAGGGUGCAAGCGUUACUCGGAAUCACUGGGCGUAAAGCGCGCGCAGGCGGCUAUUUAAGUUGGAUGUGAAAGCCUACGACUCAACCGUAGAACUGCAUCCAAAACUAUUUAGCUAGAGUGUGGGAGAGGAAGAUGGAAUUAGUUGUGUAGGGGUAAAAUCCGUAGAGAUAACUAGGAAUACCAAAAGCGAAGGCAAUCUUCUGGAACACUACUGACGCUGAGGCGCGAAAGCGUGGGGAGCAAACAGGAUUAGAAACCCUAGUAGUCC